This 519-nucleotide ribosomal RNA is filed under the name uncultured eukaryote. Its description in RNAcentral is "eukaryotic LSU rRNA". It matches the Rfam family "Eukaryotic large subunit ribosomal RNA", at positions 887 to 1390 of the family's 3401-position model. The record is from RNAcentral.
UGACGUGCAAAUCGAUCGUCAAACUUGGGGUAUAGGGGCGAAAGACUAAUCGAACCAUCUAGUAGCUGUUCCUCCCGAAAUUUCCCUUAGGAUAGCACCAACCGACGUGAAGUAGUUGCAUCUGGUAAAGCGAAUGAUUAAGAAUUGGGGGCGCAAUGCCCUUCGUCUGUUCUCAAACUUUUGAAUGGGUGCGACGUGUUAUGUUGCUUUAUUUGAACUAACACUUUGAAUACAUGGUUGUUAGCGGGCUUGUUCUGGUAAGCAGGACUGGCGAUGCGGGAUGAACCGAUCAUAUUGUUAAAGCGCCCCAAUUCUCCGCUCAUAAGAUCCCACAAAAUGCGCAGGCAAAUUGAGACAGUUGGGCCGUGGCCAUGGAAGUCGGCAACAGCUAAGGAUCGUGUAACAACCCACCAACAUAAUUUGCCUACCAUGAAAAAGGAUGGCGCUUAAGCGGAGAGCUUAUACAAUAUUUUCUUUUUUUUUACAAUUCUCACAUAGAAAAAAAGAAAGUAGGGAGGC